RNAcentral lists this transfer RNA (88 nucleotides) under Deltaproteobacteria bacterium. RNAcentral describes it as "tRNA-Ser". It matches the Rfam family "tRNA". Rfam says of the family: Transfer RNA (tRNA) molecules are approximately 80 nucleotides in length. Their secondary structure includes four short double-helical elements and three loops (D, anti-codon, and T loops). The record is from RNAcentral. RNAcentral also lists the same sequence under 1 other name. Lineage: Bacteria; Pseudomonadati; Myxococcota; Myxococcia.
GGAGAGGUGGCCGAGAGGCCGAAGGCGCGCCCCUGCUAAGGGCGUAUAGGGAAACCUAUCGAGGGUUCGAAUCCCUCCCUCUCCGCCA